GAUGAACGCUGGCGGCGUGCCUAAUACAUGCAAGUCGAACGCUGGAGAUCUAGCUUGCUAGAUCGAAGGAGUGGCGAACGGGUGAGUAAUACAUAAGCAACCUACCCACGAAGACUGGGAUAAUCUCUGGAAACGGGGACUAAUACCGGAUAGGUAAUCGGAAGGCAUCUUCUGGUUAUUAAAGGUUAAAAACACUGGUGGAUGGGCUUAUGGCGCAUUAGUUAGUUGGUGAGGUAACGGCUCACCAAGACGAUGAUGCGUAGCCGGCCUGAGAGGGUGAACGGCCACAUUGGGACUGAGACACGGCCCAGACUCCUACGGGAGGCAGCAGUAGGGAAUUUUCAGCAAUGGGGGCAACCCUGACCGAGCAACGCCGCGUGAGUGAAGACGGCCUUCGGGUUGUAAAGCUCUGUUGUAAGGGAAGAACGGUAGAUAGAGAAUAUCUAAGUGACGGUACCUUACCAGAAAGCCACGGCUAACUACGUG
RNAcentral lists this ribosomal RNA (486 nucleotides) under uncultured bacterium. RNAcentral's name for it is "partial 16S ribosomal RNA". It matches the Rfam family "Bacterial small subunit ribosomal RNA", at positions 28 to 507 of the family's 1533-position model. The record is from RNAcentral.